Molecule: long non-coding RNA, 1235 nt
Organism: Bactrocera latifrons
Lineage: Eukaryota; Metazoa; Arthropoda; Insecta; Diptera; Tephritidae
Exons: 3
Source: RefSeq, a predicted model, not a curated record
UGACAUUUCGCUUUGAGAAAAAAGCAAAAUUACAAAUAAUUGAAAACGAUUUCAACUUCUUUCCGCAAAAUGCAAAGCCUGACACAAAGAAAACUCUGCAUYUUCACCUUUGGCUUGUUUGUUGGAUAUAUUAUUUCGCCGAGGAGGCGCUAAGAGGAAUAAAAAAUUUGCGAGGAAUACGAAAUUUGCGAGAGUGUAUACUAUUUAUUUUCAAUAGUGCUGCUGUUUUUUGAUUCAUUGAACUCUAAUCUAAACAUAAAACUAAAGCAAUUUCUAYUUACGAAGCUGUCUAAACAAUUUUCUCUUAAAAUUUUAAAAGCGAGUUACAUUAGUUAACGAAGAAMCCGCCUUGGAAUGACCGAACCGUUGAUCAUUUUUUGCAUGGGCACUUUGGCUGGCGUCAUAUUGGUUAAUAUUCUACAAGGAAAUCGGCUGGAAGGAAACAGAAUGCUUGCAGAUCGCCUGAUAAUAUUUAUAUUUGGUGUUGCCAUUGGCUACUUUAUUGUGCCGAAAUUGUGAUUUUCAUGUGACGCUAAAUUCAAAUAUGUAUUCAAUUAUAAAAGCAACAACAAUGCGACAAUAAAAUUUCAUUUACGUAAUUAGGAAACGUUUUGAGUUUGUGGUAAUUAUAGUUAGCAWAGCAAUUGAAAUGCUUCGAGUCAUUAAGGAUGAAAAAUACAUGCUGAACUACACGUUUUCAAAUUUCAUAUUGGUUUUGUUGUUGUAUUAGCAUAUAUAUAAUUUCGGAGAAUGCCGCUGAGAUGGUAAUAACCAACGUAAUAAGGCGUACGAUUUGCCUUUUAUCCUCAGAAAAAAGUACUUGAAAAAACAAAAAAAUCAUUGUAAGCUUUGCUUCAUAGUUAAAUUGAAUAAUCAAAGUAAAUGUCAAAACCUAAAACUUCUAAAUAUUUYGUGUGAAAAUUGUUGAAAUUUUUAAAGAGACCUCUAAAAUAACUAAUCAAAUCUUAACCUGGAAUUGUGGCUCYUUCAAUUGGAACCAUGGAUAGAAUUAUCUUAUUCAGCCUUGGCGUCUUAGUGGGUUAUUAUAUCUUGAGAAGAAUGUAAUUUGUAGAGUAUGCAUGAAUAUAAUGGAAUAAAUUUUAAUGAAUAUUGCUGCUGUGUGUCUCYUUGGAAAGAAUAAUUAAUGUGUUCUUUUUCGAUUUAUGUGUAGAGGAGAAUAAAAAUUCGCUGUAAAAAAAUUGUAAAUAAAUACAUAUUUAUAAUGAUAAAUACAA